UACAGAGGUCCCGAGCGUUGUUCGGAUUCAUUGGGCGUAAAGGGUGCGUAGGCGGCGAGGCCAGUCUGAUGUGAAAUCCCGGGGCUCAACCCCGGAACUGCAUUGGAUACUGCCUUGCUCGAGUACUGGAGAGGGAACUGGAAUUUACGGUGUAGCAGUGAAAUGCGUAGAGAUCGUAAGGAAGGCCAGUGGCGAAGGCGAGUUCCUGGACAGUUACUGACGCUGAGGCACGAAGGCCAGGGGAGCAAACGGG
RNAcentral lists this ribosomal RNA (253 nucleotides) under uncultured bacterium. RNAcentral describes it as "partial 16S ribosomal RNA". It matches the Rfam family "Bacterial small subunit ribosomal RNA", at positions 524 to 776 of the family's 1533-position model. The record is from RNAcentral.